ACGGCUUUACUACAUUAAGACACUGAUUCUAGUUCGAUCACCGAAGUUAAGCAAUGUCGGACUCGGUCAAUACUUGGGAGGAUGGCAACAUAGGAAACACCAGGUGCUAUAGGCU
Molecule: non-coding RNA, 115 nt
Organism: Cordylochernes scorpioides
Lineage: Eukaryota; Metazoa; Arthropoda; Arachnida; Pseudoscorpiones; Chernetidae
Source: the annotation of a GenBank genome assembly